This 444-nucleotide ribosomal RNA is filed under the name uncultured bacterium. RNAcentral describes it as "partial 16S ribosomal RNA". It matches the Rfam family "Bacterial small subunit ribosomal RNA", at positions 354 to 796 of the family's 1533-position model. The record is from RNAcentral.
GUAGGGAAUAUUGGUCAAUGGGCGGAAGCCUGAACCAGCCAUGCCGCGUGCAGGAAGAAGGCCCUCUGGGUUGUAAACUGCUUUUGAUAGGGAACAAAUGCCACUUGCGAGUGGAGCUGAGUGUACCUAUAGAAUAAGCACCGGCUAACUCCGUGCCAGCAGCCGCGGUAAUACGGAGGGUGCAAGCGUUGUCCGGAUAUAUUGGGUUUAAAGGGUGCGUAGGCGGCUCUUUAAGUCAGUGGUGAAAUCCUUCAGCUUAACUGGAGAACUGCCAUUGAUACUGAAGAGCUUGAGUAUAGUUGAGGUAGGCGGAAUUGACAGUGUAGCGGUGAAAUGCUUAGAUAUUGUCAAGAACACCGAUUGCGAAGGCAGCUUACUAAACUAUAACUGACGCUGAGGCACGAAAGCGUGGGUAUCAAACAGGAUUAGAUACCCCUGUAGUCC